This 464-nucleotide ribosomal RNA is filed under the name uncultured bacterium. RNAcentral's name for it is "bacterial SSU rRNA". It matches the Rfam family "Bacterial small subunit ribosomal RNA", at positions 355 to 822 of the family's 1533-position model. The record is from RNAcentral.
UAAGGAAUAUUGGUCAAUGGAGGCAACUCUGAACCAGCCAUGCCGCGUGCAGGAUGAAGGCCCUAUGGGUCGUAAACUGCUUUUAUACCAGAGAAAACCCUUCCACGUGUGGAAGGCUGAUAGUAUGGUAAGAAUAAGCAUCGGCUAACUUCGUGCCAGCAGCCGCGGUAAGACGAAGGAUGCAAGCGUUAUCCGGAUUCAUUGGGUUUAAAGGGUGCGUAGGCGGACUUGUAAGUCAGUGGUGAAAUCUCUCAGCUUAACUGAGAAACUGCCAUUGAUACUGCAGGUCUAGAGUAUAGAUGACGUUGGCGGAAUAUGACAUGUAGUGGUGAAAUACUUAGAUAUGUCAUAGAACACCGAUUGCGAAGGCAGCUAACGAAACUAUAACUGACGCUGAGGCACGAAAGUGCGGGGAUCAAACAGGAUUAGAUACCCAUGUAGUCCCUGAGCGGGCUGGCAAGGCG